RNAcentral lists this ribosomal RNA (113 nucleotides) under Caulobacteraceae bacterium. RNAcentral's name for it is "partial 16S ribosomal RNA". It matches the Rfam family "Bacterial small subunit ribosomal RNA", at positions 1 to 123 of the family's 1533-position model. Lineage: Bacteria; Pseudomonadati; Pseudomonadota; Alphaproteobacteria; Caulobacterales; Caulobacteraceae. The record is from RNAcentral.
UCAACCUGAGAGUUUGAUCCUGGCUCAGAGCGAACGCUGGCGGCAGGCCUAACACAUGCAAGUCGAACGGACCCUUCGGGGUUAGUGGCGGACGGGUGAGUAACACGUGGGAA